GUGUCUGAGUACCCCCGGUGUUUGAUUUUGAUCGGGGUCCGGGGUUGUCUCCAAAGAUGCUGUGGAGGUUUUAGAGUCGCUUGUCCUUCCCGGGGAACCGGGAGCGACAGGGAAAGACUUUUCUUCGAACAUGGUGGUGGUUCCAUCAUUGUGCCCAAAAAAAAAUCUACGCUCUACCGUGAUCCUCAGCAGUCCGGGGUUUGGGUAAAAAGGCACCAGUCCUGCUGCUUCUCCUGAAGUUUGACGCCUCAUCGCCCAUGGCGCACAAGCAGACGACAGUAUUUGUUCUAGGAGAAUUUAUUGCUUUUUAUUAGCCACUUUUUGCAAACAUGCGAGAGAGAAAAAAACCUCUCUGGCGCUGGCUCCUCUCUGCGGGGUAUUAUUGCUGUCCUUAUGUCUCCCAGUUAAGAUGAAACCUCCAAGCAGUUUCCAUGAAACUCCUCAGUCCAUCACGGCUCAUGCAGAACUACUGCAUCUCUGUGCGCACCCAUGGCGCACAGAUCUCCAGUAAUCCCUCCAUGGAGAUGAUCGAUCCAAUCCUUCUAAUGAGAUGUGAAAUUCAAUUAUCGCUCUUGAACAAAUCUGAUAUUUCCCCACCCCCUAAAAAUACAAAAAAAUAAAAUGAAAAAUGAUAAAGAUUCUUUUACUCCUGGCUCCCCGCAGCUUCAGUCAAGAUGGUCCAAAAGACAAUUUGAUAUUUGAGGAGAUGCCGUUUUCCUUCUCUAUUCGGGCCAUCAUCUCCUUGUCCUCAUAUUUGCAGGAGUUCGACGACAAACAUUUGCUUCAUCUCAGCGCGCUCUCCCUCUCCUCCUUCCUCUCUCCCUCUCUCCGCGGUGGAUGGGUGGUUGUUCCUUUUAUGCGCUCAUCCAUUAUGAUUUGCUCCAUGAGCUCGCAAUGCGCAUUUCCUUCGCCAAAAGACAACACAGCAAAUCGGUCAUUUGAUUUAUGAAACUUAAUUUUGUGGAAUUCAAAAUCCAGCUCCUUGUGUGUGAUUUUACAACAAGCAAAAGUUAAAACUAUUACUCUGUUUGCAAGACUUUUUCCUUUCUUUUCAGUCUCUUGUUUGUCUCAUCUUUGUGCGUCUGAAGUGCGUGUCAGCAUUAAAGGUGUCCCUAUUAUUGUUUCCACUGCUAUUUUUAAACAAGUCAAAGCCUUGCACUGUUUAUCAUUCUGCACGUAGUUAACAAAAGUGUCUGCUGUCUCCCCACCUUUACGUAAUAAAGCCCAAAACAUCAAUGAUACUGUUAGUUUGAUCAAUUUCAGGACAGGAGUUGCUUUAAAGCUAAAGGUUGAUCUUGUUUUAUGUGUCUUUUUAUUGUAUUAAAAAAGAACACAAAAGAUAAAUUCAAUAGUUUAUUGUUUGUUAAACUUAGAGGAAAUUAUUUUGUCUAUUUCCAAAGAAGCGUGUAGAUUUAAAAGCUUAAACUCAAGCAUCAGUUUCAUAUCCUCUCACAGCUGGAAUUUCCUUUGAUUAAAUCAAUUUAACAUAAAAAGAAAUGGGAAUUUUACAUUUCAGGAAGUUCAGACAGAAGCAAAACUGUCAAAAUCCCUGGAAUUUAUCCUUCAUUAUAAAUCAAAAACAUGGUCAAGCUGUGCCAUCUUGGUCAAAGUCAUUGGUGCCCUUGAAUGUCCUCUGUUUAAUUACUUUCCUGAAUCAAAAAUCAAAAACUUUGACCUCAAACUGAGUUUGGUGACACUGUUUGAGGAUUUCAGGCUUUUCUUAUUGCCCUCUGAGGAUUUCUUGCUUGUCCUCUUGGCCAUCAGAACCUGACCUGGUUCAGUCUGAAGUGAUUCAGAUCUCUCCAGGUCAAAAAUGUGCUUUUUGAUGAAAUAAUCACCUGUGAAAUUGUCAUUUGUUUGUUAAAAGCAUUUCUUGUGCCUUAAACGCCUCAUUCCACAUUAAUUAAAUACAACUUAAAACACUGUUGUUCUUUGAUGUUAGAUAAGUUCAAAUAUUUGGACAACAAAGUUCGUCAAUAGUGUAUGUGGUCAUUUUACUUCAUUAUAAUUGAGAAAAUAUAAUAUUUUUCAUUAAGUAAGAAACAUGAUAAAGUAAUAUCAUUUUAAUGUAAAUUCGUCCUUAUGGAAAUUGGACCUUAUGCCUCUCUCACAUAUAUUUUAAUAAAUGAAUACAAUCAUGCAAACCUGCCUGACUUGCAUUUAUUUACAGUCUUUCCAAAAAUGAUUCAUGAAUCAUCUAUAGGUACACUUUUACCAGACUAGGAGUGUAUUAAAUUGUGUUUCAUUCAAAAGAAACUGAAUGAGAAUUGUUGGGCAAUGUUAUCCAUUAAUUUCUUCUUUUUGACCUUCUGCAGCAAGGUUUUGUCCACACCUUCCUGUUCAUUUCCUGAAUUACCUCUAGAAAAUAAAAUCACCUGAUAAUUCUUCCAGUUUUCCAAUGCCUGAAGCUCCUGAGAAAAGAGUGAGGAUUCAGGAUUCUUACAGCUGUGCUCGCUCACGUAUCUUUUCUCAGUGAGGAUGUUUGCUGGAUUCAUCAUCGAGCUUCAGCCUUGAAGAGCCUUCAGAUUUCCAAAGAAGGGCAGAAAAUGGGACAUCUGGGUUGCUCUGCUUGUUGCCACUGGUGACCCUCCGGCAGAAAAGAUGCUAAAAAAUGAAAUAAACAGGAAGAUGUGUGGAUGCACUGUUAACCUCCUUUUCCUCUGCCAGCAGUGUGAAUUCUCACAGGAGCAAAGCUGUCAGUGAAAUAAGUGGUAGUUCUGGCAGAUUAUUACUAGAAGACAGCUUCUGGACUGACAAAAUUUUAGGAAGUUGAUUUACACAAGGGGACUCAUUCUGAAAAGUAAUGAUGGUUAAAUGUGAGUCUGCAGGACCAUAGAAAGUGGGGAGUCGUGCUUUGCUAAUGUUCUGCCCACAGCUGCAGAGCUUGAUGUGCAGCAGGCUCUACUUUAGCAGGAGAUGAGCCUCACUGGGGAGGUGGUGUCAGUAAGAAUUUCCUGAAAGUCCACCUUUUCCUUGGAGUCAGCUGAAAGCAUUCUCCCAAAUGUCCCCAAAAGGUGGUGCCUCCAUGCUGGCACUUUCAAACAGAAGAAAGGACAUGGUCACAGAGGAGCAAAAGGCAUACCAGAUGACUUUCAUUAAAUAUGCAUGCAAAAAAAAA
Molecule: non-coding RNA, 3118 nt
Organism: Oryzias latipes (Japanese medaka)
Lineage: Eukaryota; Metazoa; Chordata; Actinopteri; Beloniformes; Adrianichthyidae
Source: RefSeq, a predicted model, not a curated record